GGUGAAAAGCUAAACAAAAUCCCCCAAAAACCAGGAAAAUCGAUGAUCACAGCCAAACUGUCGAUUUUCACCAAUUUUUCCCGAUUUUAAGCUAAAAUGGGUAAGAAAAAGCUGAAAAAAACAACAAAAAAACGUUUAAAAAUUCAGGCGCCGGCUUGGUUUCCGCAUGCCUGCCGAUUUCCUACGUCUUGCUGGUCCAUUUGUUCGAUAGAAAUGGAACCGACCGAAAUGACCCGGAAAGUGUGAAGAGGAGGUGCGGAAUUGAAGAAAAUAGUGCGGAAAAACGGAAAAUUUGACGUGGAAAACCUAGGAAUAUCGGAUUUUUUGAAAAAAAAAAAGAUUUUUAAAUUUUUUUUUUGAAAAAAAAAAAAAAAUUUAAUUCCAAAAAAAAAUUAUUUUUUUCAGAUUCAAAGGAGCCCUGUUGAGCAAUUUUGUCUCCAUUGUGGUCACCGCAUUCUACCUACGAGAUGUAUGAUUUUUUGGCGAAAAAAUUGGAAUUUUGCCUCAAAAAGUGCAAAAACUAUGAAUUUCCUCAAAUUUUUCCCCCGAAAAAGCGUAAAAUUGUCAAUUUUCCACUGAAAAAAUCAAUUUUCCCGCCAAAAACCGCCCAAAUUUCGCCAUUUUUCCAGUAUACCGACUCUCCAAUGCUAGAAAUGGGAGUUCGAUGGGAUAACAUAGGACAAUCGAUCACAUAUCCAUUCAUUUUAAUGAAUGCAUUCUAUUUAGGACAAUUCGUUAUGAUGCAAAUCGAUCGGACACUUUGGCACUAUUUUGGUACGGGAAAACGCGAGGAAAAUCGUGCGAAAAAUGAACAAAAUCGAUGAAAAAUUAGAUAAAAACGUUGAAAAUUCGAAAUUUUUGGUCAUAAAAUGGGAAAAACGUCAGAAAUAUAGCAUUGUUCCGUUGAAAGUUAGUUAAAAAUCAGAAAAUAAGCUUAAAAUCAGAUUUUGGGGCCAAAAAUCGUGAAAAAAAACACUGAAAAUUUAAUUUUCCGGCAAAAACUUUGAAAAAAAUGCAAAAAAUCGAUGCUAAUUAGUUUAAACAGUCGAAAAUUUGUCUUAAAAUUUGCAAAAAGCACGAAAACUCAAAAAAAAUAGUCAAAAAAAAAGCUCAGAAAAUGCAAUUUUUCACUUGAAAUCUAGAAUUUUGCCUAUUUCAACACAAAAUUUCAAAAAAAAAUUGAAAAAAUCGAUUUUUUUUUUCUUGAAAAAUGCACAAAAAUUUGAUUUUUCAAUUUAAAAAUUAUUAAAAAUUCAGAAAAAUGCACAUUUUCGGACUUUUGCGCUUCAAAUUGUUAUACAAGUCUGAAAAAUUGAGUUUUUCUGUUGAAAAUGAUUUUAAGUCAGAAAACUGUGAAAAAAACAGUUAAAAAUCUGGAUUUUCCGGCAAAAAUAAAAUCGAAAAAAAAGUGAAAAAUCGAUAAAAUAAUGAGCUUGAAAAGUCGAAAAAUUGUCUUAAAAUUGACAAAAGCACCAAAACUUAAUUUUAGUCUGAGUUUUCUUGAAAAUUCAUAGAAAAUAGUCAAAAAAAGCUCAAAAAAUGCAUUUUUUUAAAAUAGAAUUCCUUAAAAACUGAUUCUAAAAUGGAAAUUCUUCAAAAUCGGAAAAUUCGAUGAAAAAUCAGCUAAAAAGUGCAUUUUUUCGUUUGAAAAAUACGCAAAUCGGAUUUUUCAGUUAAAAAUUAAAAAAAAACGGAAAAAUUGCUUUAAAAAAAUCAAUUUUCGCAGCUAAACCUUUGAAAAAAACAGUUUUUACACUAAAAUCCACAAAAAAUUGGCAAAAUCCCAGAAAAAUGCAUUUUUGUGGUUUUCAUAUGAAAAUUGUGAAAAAAAAUGGGAAAAUCGAGAAAAAUUAGAUAAAAGAGUAAUUUUUUUUUGAAAAAUGCACAAAAAUUAGAUUUUUCAACUGAAAAAUUGCUAAAAACGUUUGAAAUUUGGGUUUUUAGGCUCAAAAUGUGAAAAAUGGCUCAAAAAAUCGAAUUUUCGCAGCUAAAACUUAAAAAAAAACCGAAUUUUAAUGUAAAAAAUCAGUUUUUGAACUAAAAUUCCCGAGAAAAUUGGCAAAAAAUUCCAGAUUGGUACGAGUGGAAGCUAUGUUUCAAUAGUUGGGUAUGGCGACGGGAUAUUAUUGUGGUAAGAGCAUUAAAAUGUUGAAAAUCUGAAAAUUGCAGUGGAAAACCUGGAAAAAUGAGGAUUUUAGACAGAUUUACCUGGGAAAAUUCGAAAUUUCAGCGAUUUUUCUUCAAAAUUCACCAAUUUUUUCACUGAAAAAUUGCCAUUUUUGGACUAAAAAUUCCCCAAAAAAACUCAAAAUUGAUGAAAAAUUAGUGAAAUUUCCGAUUUUUCGCAAUAAAAAUCCCUAAAAAAUCAUCAAUUUCCUCCUCCAUUUUCAGGGUCCAAUAACCGAAGAAAUCGUAUUUCGAGCGUGCUCCUCAACUCUUAUGGCGCACGUCUAUGGUCCAACAAUGACAAUUUUAUUAAAUCCAAUUCCAUUUGCGGCUUCACAUUUUCAUCACAUUUGGGAUGAUCAACGACGUGGAUAUUCUCUAGCACAUUCUAUACUUCAACGGG
Molecule: small RNA, 2569 nt
Filed under: Caenorhabditis elegans
Lineage: Eukaryota; Metazoa; Nematoda; Chromadorea; Rhabditida; Rhabditidae
Description: Unclassified non-coding RNA F48F5.9
Source: RNAcentral